UACGUAGGGUGCGAGCGUUAAUCGGAAUUACUGGGCGUAAAGCGUGCGCAGGCGGCGCGUUAAGACAGGUGUGAAAGCCCCGAGCUUAACUUGGGAAUUGCGCUUGUGACUGGCGUGCUGGAGUGUGGCAGAGGGAAGUGGAAUUCCACGUGUAGCAGUGAAAUGCGUAGAGAUGUGGAGGAACACCGAUGGCGAAGGCAGCCUCCUGGGCCAGCACUGACGCUCAUGCACGAAAGCGUGGGGAGCAAACAGG
Molecule: ribosomal RNA, 253 nt
Filed under: uncultured bacterium
Lineage: Bacteria
Description: partial 16S ribosomal RNA
Rfam family: Bacterial small subunit ribosomal RNA
Source: RNAcentral